AUGCACGCUGGCGGCGUGCCUAAUACAUGCAAGUCGAGCGAACAGACGAGGAGCUUGCUCCUCUGACGUUAGCGGCGGACGGGUGAGUAACACGUGGAUAACCUACCUAUAAGACUGGGAUAACUUCGGGAAACCGGAGCUAAUACCGGAUAACAUGUUGAACCGCAUGGUUCAACAGUGAAAGACGGUCUUGCUGUCACUUAUAGAUGGAUCCGCGCCGCAUUAGCUAGUUGGUAAGGUAACGGCUUACCAAGGCAACGAUGCGUAGCCGACCUGAGAGGGUGAUCGGCCACACUGGAACUGAGACACGGUCCAGACUCCUACGGGAGGCAGCAGUAGGGAAUCUUCCGCAAUGGGCGAAAUCCUGACGGAGCAACGCCGCGUGAGUGAAGAAGGUCUUCGGAUCGUAAAACUCUGUUAUUAGGGAAGAACAAAUGUGUAAGUAACUAUGCACGUCUUGACGGUACCUAAUCAGAAAGCCACGGCUAACUACGUG
This 496-nucleotide ribosomal RNA is filed under the name uncultured bacterium. RNAcentral describes it as "partial 16S ribosomal RNA". It matches the Rfam family "Bacterial small subunit ribosomal RNA", at positions 29 to 507 of the family's 1533-position model. The record is from RNAcentral.